AGUGAACGCUGGCGGUAGGCCUAACACAUGCAAGUCGAACGGCAGCACAGUAAGAGCUUGCUCUUACGGGUGGCGAGUGGCGGACGGGUGAGGAAUAAAUCGGAAUCUACUUUUUCGUGGGGGAUAACGUAGGGAAACUAAGGUAAUUACCGAAAAGGACCAACGGGUGAAAGAGGGGGACUAUCGAACUUUGGGGGAUGGAAGAAGCCGAUGUCGGAUUAGCUAGUUGGCGGGGUAAAGGCCCACCAAGGCGACGAUCCGUAGCUGGUCUGAGAGGAUGAUCAGCCACACUGGAACUGAGACACGGUCCAGACUCCUACGGGAGGCAGCAGUGGGGAAUAUUGGACAAUGGGCGCAAGCCUGAUCCAGCCAUACCGCGUGGGUGAAGAAGGCCUUCGGGUUGUAAAGCCCUUUUGUUGGGAAAGAAAAGCAGCAGGUUAAUACCCCGCUGUUCUGACGGUACCCAAAGAAUAAGCACCGGCUAACUUCGUG
RNAcentral lists this ribosomal RNA (492 nucleotides) under uncultured bacterium. RNAcentral describes it as "partial 16S ribosomal RNA". It matches the Rfam family "Bacterial small subunit ribosomal RNA", at positions 29 to 507 of the family's 1533-position model. The record is from RNAcentral.